AACGAACGCUGGCGGCGUGCCUAAUACAUGCAAGUCGAGCGAAUGGAUUAAGAGCUUGCUCUUAUGAAGUUAGCGGCGGACGGGUGAGUAACACGUGGGUAACCUGCCCAUAAGACUGGGAUAACUCCGGGAAACCGGGGCUAAUACCGGAUAACAUUUUGAACCGCAUGGUUCGAAAUUGAAUGGCGGCUUCGGCUGUCACUUAUGGAUGGACCCGCGUCGCAUUAGCUAGUUGGUGAGGUAACGGCUCACCAAGGCAACGAUGCGUAGCCGACCUGAGAGGGUGAUCGGCCACACUGGGACUGAGACACGGCCCAGACUCCUACGGGAGGCAGCAGUAGGGAAUCUUCCGCAAUGGACGAAAGUCUGACGGAGCAACGCCGCGUGAGUGAUGAAGGCUUUCGGGUCGUAAAACUCUGUUGUUAGGGAAGAACAAGUGCUAGUUGAAUAAGCUGGCACCUUGACGGUACCUAACCAGGAAGCCACGGCUAACUACGUGCCAGCAGCCGCUGUAA
RNAcentral lists this ribosomal RNA (515 nucleotides) under uncultured bacterium. RNAcentral describes it as "partial 16S ribosomal RNA". It matches the Rfam family "Bacterial small subunit ribosomal RNA", at positions 29 to 523 of the family's 1533-position model. The record is from RNAcentral.